This 427-nucleotide ribosomal RNA is filed under the name uncultured bacterium. RNAcentral describes it as "partial 16S ribosomal RNA". It matches the Rfam family "Bacterial small subunit ribosomal RNA", at positions 355 to 774 of the family's 1533-position model. The record is from RNAcentral.
UGGGGAAUAUUGGACAAUGGGCGCAAGCCUGAUCCAGCCAUACCGCGUGGGUGAAGAAGGCCUUCGGGUUGUAAAGCCCUUUUGUUGGGAAAGAAAUCCAGCUGGUUAAUACCCGGUUGGGAUGACGGUACCCAAAGAAUAAGCACCGGCUAACUCCGUGCCAGCAGCCGCGGUAAUACGAAGGGUGCAAGCGUUACUCGGAAUUACUGGGCGUAAAGCGUGCGUAGGUGGUCGUUUAAGUCCGUUGUGAAAGCCCUGGGCUCAACCUGGGAACUGCAGUGGAUACUGGGCGACUAGAAUGUGGUAGAGGGUAGCGGAAUUCCUGGUGUAGCAGUGAAAUGCGUAGAGAUCAGGAGGAACAUCCAUGGCGAAGGCAGCUACCUGGACCAACAUUGACACUGAGGCACGAAAGCGUGGGGAGCAAACA